RNAcentral lists this ribosomal RNA (530 nucleotides) under Aleiodes sp. 11 AZR-2008. RNAcentral describes it as "eukaryotic LSU rRNA". It matches the Rfam family "Eukaryotic large subunit ribosomal RNA", at positions 485 to 744 of the family's 3401-position model. The record is from RNAcentral. Lineage: Eukaryota; Metazoa; Arthropoda; Insecta; Hymenoptera; Braconidae.
AAUGGGGAGAUUCAUCGUCAGCUCAUUUUGUAUAUAUAUANGUUAUGAUGCGGGUUACUACUUGUAGUAUUGCCUGUACAUUCUUGUAUAUUUAGUUGCAAGAUGUUGUCGGCGUGCACUUCUCCCCUAGUAGAACGUCGCGACCUGUUGGGUGUCGGUCUACGGCCCAAGUGAUAGACUUUAUUGUAAUUUAAAAAGCAUUAAAGAUCCUGGUGUUUUUUGACCGACUACUUGGCAGUAUUCGUACGGUAAUUAGCCGCUAAAUUUAUUAAGCGUCCAUAACCGUCACAAGCGAGGCUAAUUUACUGAUAGUACGGACCUAGUGCCGUCGUUGGUAUUGGCCAGCUGUUGGUUGUAUGGUAUUCUAGGACUGGCUAAAAUUAAUUAUCGGUCGGCGAUGCUACUGCUUUGGGUACUUUCAGGACCCGUCUUGAAACACGGACCAAGGAGUCUAACAUGUGCGCAAGUCAUUGGGAUUUUUUUUAAAUUAAACCUAAAGGCGCAAUGAAAGUAAAAGUUGGCCUUGCGUC